This 375-nucleotide ribosomal RNA is filed under the name uncultured bacterium. RNAcentral describes it as "bacterial SSU rRNA". It matches the Rfam family "Bacterial small subunit ribosomal RNA", at positions 524 to 898 of the family's 1533-position model. The record is from RNAcentral.
AACGUAGGUGGCUAGCGUUGUCCGGAAUUACUGGGUGUAAAGGGAGCGCAGGUGGGACUGCAAGUCGAAUGUGAAAUCCACGGGCUCAACCCGUGAAUUGCGUUCGAUACUGUGGUUCUUGAGUGGAGUAGAGGCAGGCGGAAUUCCCGGUGUAGCGGUGGAAUGCGUAGAUAUCGGGAGGAACACCAGUGGCGAAGGCGGCCUGCUGGGCUCUAACUGACACUGAGGCUCGAAAGCGUGGGUAGCAAACAGGAUUAGAUACCCUGGUAGUCCACGCUGUAAACGAUGAUUACUAGGUGUGGGGGGACUGACCCCCUCCGUGCCGCAGUUAACACAAUAAGUAAUCCACCUGGGGAGUACGGCCGCAAGGUUGAA